UUUUAUCAUCGUCUGAGGCGGCAAGCUAGCAAAGCAGGGCUCAUUUUUAACUUUUGUUAAAACCUUACAUUUUGUUAUGUAUUGUGGAAAGGAGAUGAUUCGAAUGGAUGGACAUGACCAAAACACAUUGAACAUGUGGUUCAGCAUAUCUCAACGAGUCGGUUGUCCUUGAAGUCAAGAGAUGCAUGCUGACAAUAAAGGUACACACAUUUCUGUGGUGCCAAGAUCAUGGGUCCCUCUCACCUCUGCUGUAAUUGGCCUACUGGUGGUUCAGGAUAUUUUAACAAGUCACUGUCCUUGAAGUCACAUGAUGUGCGGCAUUGAGACCAGAUGCAUGAAGGGCCAAAGCAUAGAAAUGGAAUGACACAGAUUCUAUUUCCGUGGCGCCAAGAUCCAUGGAUCCCUCUCACCUCUGCUGUAAUUGGCCUACGUGUGGGUUGGCAUCUCAUCGUGUCCGAUGUCCUUGAUGAACUCACAUGAUGGGGCGUCUAUUGAGACCAGAUGCAUGAUGACAAUGAAGGGGCAAAGCAUGGAAAUAUAUUAUUAACAGAUUCGAUUUCUGUUAGAAAUGGGUCCCUCUCACCUCCGCUGUAAUUGGCCUACUGGUGGUUCAGGAUAUUUUAACAAGUCACUGUCCUUGAAGUCACAUGAUGUGCGGCAUUGAGACCAGAUGCAUGAAGGGCCAAAGCAUAGAAAUGGAAUGACACAGAUUCUAUUUCCGUGGCGCCAAGAUCCAUGGAUCCCUCUCACCUCUGCUGUAAUUGGCCUACGUGGCCUACCCUGGACAAACACGGACAACGCUGGGCCAAUUGUGCUCCACCCUAUGGGACUCAAUCACGGCCGGAUGUGAUACAGCCUGGAUUCGAACCAAGGACUGUAGUGACGCCGUCUCUGCACAUUCUCUGCAACUCUUCCACGUGUCCUUGGUGUAUAAGAGAUUCUUUUGUCUAUAUAACUGUUCAAAUAAUGGUUAAUAAUCUAAUGGGGGCUCCAUUAAAAUGUAUUCUGUACGUUAUUCUUUAAAUGUUACUGUCAAUAGGCUUAUUACAAAUAUGCAUUGAGAAACAAUAAAUGAUCUGAGUCCGUGUCAAUGUUUAAAUCAGAUAAAUUGAGGUCUGGGGGGAAACGAACACAUUUGAGUUGAAUUCUCCUUUAAUUAUGCAAGAAAGGAAUGUCAGUCUAGCUAUGUUUCUGCUGUUAGCACGCUGCAGCACAGCUACAGUGCAAAACAAUGGCUACCCAAUUGAUGCCGAUAUUGUUAUGUUUGGCUUUUUAAGCCGAUGGUUGCUAACCAGGGGUGGGAUAAUGUCACUGUGCCGUUGAUUGGAUAGCAGCCGGGAGCUUUGUUUAUGACCGUUUGCGAUAGAACGCAAAAAAAUAAAAGCAAGCAUUUUCACAAUUGUUGGAGACCCCUGGUAUAAAGUUUCCUAACCCAUCUGUUUGAACCCCCAAGGAGGUGAUGCCCUGCUGUGCCCCUCUUCAGCCCAGUGGGUUCUGACUGGUCAGUUGAUGCACUUCCUCUUGUGUUAGGUUUUGCACCACUUCCUGGUUCCAACAAAUGUCCUGAUGGAGUGAAGGAGCAGAAUCAAACUAACCGUUGAUGUUUUGACUGAUGUAUAUUCAUAGAACGAGAUUAAAUGUUAUGUAUAGUUGUGUAUUGUCAUCAGGAGAACUAUUUGUCAAAGAUUCAGUGAAGUAUGAUAUUAUCAACUUCCUCAAGGAGAAGGUAGCAAGCAACAAAUGCUACAACCAUGGAAAAUGUAUUCAUGACAAUGUUAUUGCAAUGACCUUGCAGGGGGCUCUAACAACUUGACUCUCAGCCAAGACCAUAUCACAUUUGUGUGAAUGUAUUUCUGGAACAUGCUGUUCUCUUGGUGUAAACUAAUGUGGCAUGAUGUCAGAACUGUAGUUUUGCCUUACAAUUGUUCAUGACUCAUCAAUAAAAUUA
This is a long non-coding RNA of Salvelinus namaycush (lake trout), 1948 nucleotides long. RefSeq lists it as uncharacterized. The transcript is spliced from 6 exons. The record is from RefSeq and is a predicted model, not a curated record. NCBI's taxonomy places the organism in Eukaryota, Metazoa, Chordata, Actinopteri, Salmoniformes, Salmonidae.